GCGCCCAUAGCUCAAUUGGAUAGAGUGACGGUCUACGGAACCGUAGGUUGCAGGUUCAAAUCUUGCUGGGCGCACCA
Molecule: transfer RNA, 77 nt
Filed under: Caldisericota bacterium
Lineage: Bacteria; Pseudomonadati; Caldisericota
Also listed under: 2 other names
Description: tRNA-Arg
Rfam family: tRNA
About the family: Transfer RNA (tRNA) molecules are approximately 80 nucleotides in length. Their secondary structure includes four short double-helical elements and three loops (D, anti-codon, and T loops).
Source: RNAcentral